GACGAACGCUGGCGGCGUGCUUAACACAUGCAAGUCGAACGGAAAGGCCCCAGCUUGCUGGGGUACUCGAGUGGCGAACGGGUGAGUAACACGUGGGUGAUCUGCCCUGCACUCUGGGAUAAGCCUGGGAAACUGGGUCUAAUACCGGAUAGGACCGUGCUUUAGUGUGUGCGGUGGAAAGUUUUUCGGUGCAGGAUGAGCCCGCGGCCUAUCAGCUUGUUGGUGGGGUAAUGGCCUACCAAGGCGGCGACGGGUAGCCGGCCUGAGAGGGUGUACGGCCACAUUGGGACUGAGACACGGCCCAGACUCCUACGGGAGGCAGCAGCGGGGAAUAUUGCACAAUGGGCGCAAGCCUGAUGCAGCGACGCCGCGUGGGGGAUGACGGCCUUCGGGUUGUAAACCCCUUUCGGCAGGGACGAAGCUUUUGUGACGGUACCUGCAGAAGAAGCACCGGCUAACUACGUG
This 465-nucleotide ribosomal RNA is filed under the name uncultured bacterium. RNAcentral describes it as "partial 16S ribosomal RNA". It matches the Rfam family "Bacterial small subunit ribosomal RNA", at positions 28 to 507 of the family's 1533-position model. The record is from RNAcentral.